Molecule: ribosomal RNA, 507 nt
Filed under: uncultured Glomeromycotina
Lineage: Eukaryota; Fungi; Glomeromycota
Description: partial small subunit ribosomal RNA
Rfam family: Eukaryotic small subunit ribosomal RNA
Source: RNAcentral
CCAAUAGCGUAUAUUAAAGUUGUUGCAGUUAAAAAGCUCGUAGUUGAAUUUCGGGAUUGGCGCAUCGGUCGUGCCUUACGGGGUAUGAACUGGUGCAGUCAAUUUCUCACCUUCUGGAGAACCGCGAUGUCCUUAAUUGGGUGCCGCGGGGAACCAGGACCUUUACUUUGAAAACAUUAGAGUGUUUAAAGCAGGCAUUUUUGCUUGAAUACAUUAGCAUGGAAUAAUAAAAUAGGACGGCAUGGUUCUAUUUUGUUGGUUUCUAGGACCACCGUAAUGAUUAAUAGGGAUAGUUGGGGGCAUUAGUAUUCAAUUGUCAGAGGUGAAAUUCUUGGAUUUAUUGAAGACUAACUACUGCGAAAGCAUUUGCCAAGGAUGUUUUCAUUAAUCAAGAACGAAAGUUAGGGGAUCGAAGACGAUCAGAUACCGUCGUAGUCUUAACCAUAAACUAUGCCGACUAGGAAUCAGACGAUGUUAAUUUUUUAAUGACUCGUUUGGCACCUUACG